Long non-coding RNA from Cyprinus carpio (common carp), 561 nucleotides. RefSeq lists it as uncharacterized. The record is from RefSeq and is a predicted model, not a curated record. Lineage: Eukaryota; Metazoa; Chordata; Actinopteri; Cypriniformes; Cyprinidae. The transcript is spliced from 4 exons.
CACGCUGCGAAACGUCAAAACAAAAAAGACGACAACAACUUCCGUAGGCUUUUCAGCGCCAAGAAAGAUGAGUUUGAAGGGAAUCUACGCUGCAGAUUAUGGACACUGAAGACAAUAAGCAGAACGUUCAAGUCUGGGUGGCCAGAAGUUACAUUUCGGUGACCUGGUGACCUCUCUCUGCAAACCCAGAGGAUCACUUUCCUGUUAUGCUGGGAAGGGCAGACAAGACGGGCUACGUGGAAUCUAUAUUUAGAAGCCUUCCAUCCAGGAUUUUGCAGUGUCUAAUGCAUGCAAGCCAAAUAUACUAAUUAGUGGUUAAAAUAUACAAAGAGAACACAUUGUACCAUUCAUCAGUAUGGACUACAGAAAUGUAAUUUUUGUAACUUUUAAAUGAUUUAAUUAUUGCGAGUGGCGUGGAGUGUUACCUGUGAUUGAGUUGGAGACAAAAACAAAGGAGAUGGAGAAAGGAGUGUCUUAAGUUGGACCGUGGUACCAUUAAUGUUUUCCUCUUUAGUCUUGAAUUGUUUUUUUUUUUGUUAAUGCUUUGUAUUACUAUUUUGA